AGAGAAGCAAUCAGCAGCCACCCAUUGCAGC
RNAcentral lists this non-coding RNA (31 nucleotides) under Homo sapiens (human). Lineage: Eukaryota; Metazoa; Chordata; Mammalia; Primates; Hominidae. The record is from RNAcentral.